Molecule: ribosomal RNA, 480 nt
Filed under: uncultured bacterium
Lineage: Bacteria
Description: partial 16S ribosomal RNA
Rfam family: Bacterial small subunit ribosomal RNA
Source: RNAcentral
GACGAACGCUGGCGGCGUGCUUAACACAUGCAAGUCGAACGAUGAAGAAAAGAAUUGAAGCUUCGGCAGAAAUUCAUUUCGGAUUAGUGGCAGACGGGUAAGUAACGCGUGAGCAACCUACCUCUUACAAAGGGAUAGCCUCGGGAAACCGGGAUUAAUACCAUAUAACAUUGCGACGAAGCAUUUCGAUGCAAUCAAAGCUACGGCGGUAAGAGAUGGGCUCGCGUCCCAUUAACCAGAUGGUGAGGUAACGGCUCACCAUAGUAACGAUGGGUAACCGGCCUGAGAGGGUGAACGGUCACACUGGAACUGAGACACGGUCCAGACUCCUACGGGAGGCAGCAGUGGGGAAUAUUGCACAAUGGAGGGAACUCUGAUGCAGCGACGCCGCGUGAGUGAUGAAGGAAUUCGUUUCGUAAAACUCUGUUCUAUGGGAAGAAAAGGACUGUACCAUAGGAGAAAGCUCCGGCUAAAUACGUG